GGCAGCCGGAGACCAAGGCCAAAGCUUCAGACCGUUCUCCAGAUAUGGAUAACUAUUCUGAAGAUGACGAUGAUAGUUACUCGUCAGAGCAGGAGGCGAGCGACGACGCUGUUCAAGGCCAGGACCUUUAUGAUGAGGAUGAUGAUGUUCAGCGGAAGCCCAAAAAAUCUCGAAGGAAAAUGAUUAGAACGACAUCUAUGACCCGGG
This is a non-coding RNA of Pimephales promelas (fathead minnow), 207 nucleotides long. The record is from RefSeq and is a predicted model, not a curated record. NCBI's taxonomy places the organism in Eukaryota, Metazoa, Chordata, Actinopteri, Cypriniformes, Leuciscidae.